Molecule: ribosomal RNA, 540 nt
Filed under: uncultured bacterium
Lineage: Bacteria
Description: bacterial SSU rRNA
Rfam family: Bacterial small subunit ribosomal RNA
Source: RNAcentral
UCUUGCGCAUGGGCGAAAGCCUGNGCAGCAACGCCGCGUGAGGGACGAAGGCUUUCUGAGUUGUAAACCUCUUUCAGCAGGAACGAUAGUGACGGUACCUGCAGAAGAAGCACCGGCCAACUACGUGCCAGCAGCCGCGGUGAUACGUAGGGUGCAAGCGUUGUCCGGAUUUAUUGGGCGUAAAGAGCUCGUAGGCGGUUUGAUAAGUCGGAUGUGAAACCCCCAGGCUUAACCUGGGGCCGCCAUUCGAUACUGUCAUGGCUAGAGUCCGGUAGGGGACCAUGGAAUUCCUGGUGUAGCGGUGAAAUGCGCAGAUAUCAGGAGGAACACCAGUGGCGAAGGCGGUGGUCUGGGCCGGAACUGACGCUGAGGAGCGAAAGCGUGGGGAGCGAACAGGAUUAGAUACCCUGGUAGUCCACGCCGUAAACGUUGGGCACUAGGUGUGGGGCCUAUUCAACGGGUUCCGUGCCGCAGCUAACGCAUUAAGUGCCCCGCCUGGGGAGUACGGCCGCAAGGCUAAAACUCAAAAGAAUUGACGGA